UACAGAGGUCUCAAGCGUUGUUCGGAUUCAUUGGGCGUAAAGGGUGCGUAGGCGGCGCGGUAAGUCGGGUGUGAAAUCUCGGAGCUUAACUCCGAAACUGCAUUCGAUACUGCCGUGCUUGAGGAUUGCAGAGGAGACUGGAAUUCCCGGUGUAGCGGUGAAAUGUGUAGAGAUCGGGAGGAACACCGGUGGCGAAGGCGGGUCUCUGGGCAAUUCCUGACGCUGAGGCGCGAAAGCGUGGGGAGCAAACAGG
This 253-nucleotide ribosomal RNA is filed under the name uncultured bacterium. Its description in RNAcentral is "partial 16S ribosomal RNA". It matches the Rfam family "Bacterial small subunit ribosomal RNA", at positions 524 to 776 of the family's 1533-position model. The record is from RNAcentral.